UUAAAUGUGGGUCUGUCUGUGCCCUGAGAGCAUCACCCACACCCACACUCUCCCCUUAAGAAGUCCUGACUGCACAGCCCCUCACCAUGGACUGGAGCUGGAGAGCCCUCUUCCUGGUGGCAGUGGCUACAGGUGUCCACUCCCAGGUGCAGCUGGUGCAGUCUGGGGCUGAGGUGAGGAAGCCUGGGGCCUCAGUGAAGGUCUCCUGCAAGGCUUCUGGGUACACCUUCACAGGCUACGAUAUGCACUGGGUGCGGCAGGCCCCAGGUCAAGGCCUUGAGUGGAUGGGAGUAGUUAACCCUAACAGUGGUGGCACAAACUAUGCGCAGAAGUUCCAGGGCAGACUCACCAUAACUGCAGACAAGUCCACGAGCACAGCCUACAUGGAGCUGAGAAGCCUGAGAGCCGAGGACACGGCCAUGUAUUACUGUGCGAGAGACACAGUGAGGGGGAGUCAGCGUGAGCCCAGACACAAACCUCCUUAG
This is a non-coding RNA of Phyllostomus hastatus (greater spear-nosed bat), 485 nucleotides long. The record is from the annotation of a RefSeq genome assembly. Lineage: Eukaryota; Metazoa; Chordata; Mammalia; Chiroptera; Phyllostomidae.